RNAcentral lists this ribosomal RNA (253 nucleotides) under uncultured bacterium. Its description in RNAcentral is "partial 16S ribosomal RNA". It matches the Rfam family "Bacterial small subunit ribosomal RNA", at positions 524 to 776 of the family's 1533-position model. The record is from RNAcentral.
UACAGAGGUCCCAAGCGUUGUUCGGAUUCAUUGGGCGUAAAGGGUGCGUAGGCGGCGCGGUAAGUCGGGUGUGAAAUCUUGGAGCUUAACUCCGAAACUGCAUUCGAUACUGCCGUGCUUGAGGACUGGAGAGGAGACUGGAAUUUACGGUGUAGCGGUGAAAUGCGUAGAUAUCGUAAGGAAGACCAGUGGCGAAGGCGGGUCUCUGGACAGUUCCUGACGCUGAGGCACGAAGGCCAGGGGAGCAAGCGGG